ACAGAGACUGCAAGCGUUAUUCGGAUUCACUGGGCGUAAAGGGUGCGCAGGCGGUUUUGUGUGUCAGGUGUGAAAGCCCGCGGCUUAACCUCGGAAUUGCGCCUGAAACUACAAGACUAGAGUACCCGAGAGGAUAGCGGAAUUCCCGGUGUAGCGGUGAAAUGCGUAGAUAUCGUGAAGAACACCAGCGGCGAAGGCGGCUAUCUGGAAGGUAACUGACGCUCAGGCACGAAAGCGUGGGGAGCAAAAGG
Molecule: ribosomal RNA, 251 nt
Filed under: uncultured prokaryote
Description: partial 16S rRNA
Rfam family: Bacterial small subunit ribosomal RNA
Source: RNAcentral